This 28-nucleotide non-coding RNA is filed under the name Mus musculus (house mouse). The record is from RNAcentral. RNAcentral also lists the same sequence under 10 other names. Lineage: Eukaryota; Metazoa; Chordata; Mammalia; Rodentia; Muridae.
CGUAGGUGAACCUGCGGAAGGAUCAUUC